Molecule: transfer RNA, 77 nt
Filed under: Bacteroides salyersiae
Lineage: Bacteria; Pseudomonadati; Bacteroidota; Bacteroidia; Bacteroidales; Bacteroidaceae
Also listed under: 1 other name
Description: tRNA-Ala
Rfam family: tRNA
About the family: Transfer RNA (tRNA) molecules are approximately 80 nucleotides in length. Their secondary structure includes four short double-helical elements and three loops (D, anti-codon, and T loops).
Source: RNAcentral
GGGGGGUUAGCUCAUCUGGCUAGAGCGCGACACUGGCAGUGUCGAGGUGACGAGUUCGAGUCUCGUACUCUCCACAA